AAGGCCCUUUCGGGGGUACACGAGUGGCGAACGGGUGAGUAACACGUGGGUGACCUGCCCUGUACUUUGGGAUAAGCCUGGGAAACUGGGUCUAAUACCGGAUAUGACCUUCUCCUGCAUGGGGGUUGGUGGAAAGCUUUUGCGGUACAGGAUGGGCCCGCGGCCUAUCAGCUUGUUGGUGGGGUAAUGGCCUACCAAGGCGACGACGGGUAGCCGGCCUGAGAGGGCGACCGGCCACACUGGGACUGAGACACGGCCCAGACUCCUACGGGAGGCAGCAGUGGGGAAUAUUGCACAAUGGGCGCAAGCCUGAUGCAGCGACGCCGCGUGAGGGAUGACGGCCUUCGGGUUGUAAACCUCUUUCAGUAGGGACGAAGCGCAAGUGACGGUACCUACAGAAGAAGCACCGGCCAACUACGUGCCAGCAGCCGCGGUAAUACGUAGGGUGCAAGCGUUGUCCGGAAUUACUGGGCGUAAAGAGCUCGUAGGCGGUUUGUCACGUCGUCUGUGAAAACCCGAGGCUUAACCUCGGGCCUGCAGGCGAUACGGGCAGACUUGAGUACUGUAGGGGAGACUGGAAUUCCUGGUGUAGCGGUGGAAUGCGCAGAUAUCAGGAGGAACACCGGUGGCGAAGGCGGGUCUCUGGGCAGUAACUGACGCUGAGGAGCGAAAGCGUGGGUAGCGAACAGGAUUAGAUACCCUGGUAGUCCACGCCGUAAACGGUGGGUACUAGGUGUGGGUUUCCUUCCACGGGAUCCGUGCCGUAGCUAACGCAUUAAGUACCCCGCCUGGGGAGUACGGCCGCAAGGCUAAAACUCAAAGGAA
RNAcentral lists this ribosomal RNA (825 nucleotides) under Tsukamurella paurometabola. RNAcentral describes it as "bacterial SSU rRNA". It matches the Rfam family "Bacterial small subunit ribosomal RNA", at positions 71 to 909 of the family's 1533-position model. Lineage: Bacteria; Bacillati; Actinomycetota; Actinomycetes; Mycobacteriales; Tsukamurellaceae. The record is from RNAcentral.